This 217-nucleotide long non-coding RNA is filed under the name Elaeis guineensis (African oil palm). RNAcentral's name for it is "long non-coding RNA (EGUI_LNC023411)". Lineage: Eukaryota; Viridiplantae; Streptophyta; Magnoliopsida; Arecales; Arecaceae. The record is from RNAcentral.
AGUCUUAUUAAUAUUUAUAAUUUAUUGUAGGGACUUCAGGCUAGUAGGAGAUUUGAAGACGGUAAGAGAUUUUUGAAUAUUAGAGAUAGAAGAUCAGUUUAAGUUCUAGCUUUAAAAAUUAUCAGGCUUGUAUUCAAUUCUCAUGUUAUUGUUCUUAGUGAUUGUCACUUUGGUCCUUCAUUUUUAUUGAAUAUAAUUUCUGUAGGCCUUUUGGCCA